GGGUGGUAAGGUUGGAUGUCACAAAAUAUACAUCCUACUGUGAUGCAUCAUAAGGUACUUCUAAAAAAGGUUAUACAUCCUACUAUGAUGCAUCAAAAGGUUGUAGUUCUCAUAAAGCUAGUCCUAAAAAAGGUUGUACAUAAUUUUUCAUAUUUGAAUUUAGUCAUUCAGUCUUAAUAUGCUUUGCCACAUUGGAGGAUGACAAUUGAGUGGAUUAUAGAGGGGCUUUGUAACAGGUCCAAGUUUAAGUCAUCAGGCAUCCUCUUGGCUGGAGCUACAACUUGAAGGUUGUCUGGAUCAUGGUUAGUAGUGA
RNAcentral lists this long non-coding RNA (313 nucleotides) under Lupinus angustifolius (narrow-leaved blue lupine). RNAcentral describes it as "long non-coding RNA (LANG_LNC002526)". Lineage: Eukaryota; Viridiplantae; Streptophyta; Magnoliopsida; Fabales; Fabaceae. The record is from RNAcentral.